Molecule: ribosomal RNA, 801 nt
Filed under: uncultured bacterium
Lineage: Bacteria
Description: bacterial SSU rRNA
Rfam family: Bacterial small subunit ribosomal RNA
Source: RNAcentral
AGAGUUUGAUCCUGGCUCAGGAUGAACGCUGGCGGCGUGCUUAACACAUGCAAGUCGAGCGAAGCAGUUAAGAAGAUUCUUCGGAUGAUUUUUAACUGACUGAGCGGCGGACGGGUGAGUAACGCGUGGGUGACCUGCCCCAUACCGGGGGAUAACAGCUGGAAACGGCUGCUAAUACCGCAUAGGCGCACAGAGCUGCAUGGCUCAGUGUGAAAAACUCCGGUGGUAUGGGAUGGGCCCGCGUCUGAUUAGGCAGUUGGCGGGGUAACGGCCCACCAAACCGACGAUCAGUAGCCGGCCUGAGAGGGCGACCGGCCACAUUGGGACUGAGACACGGCCCAAACUCCUACGGGAGGCAGCAGUGGGGAAUAUUGCACAAUGGGGGAAACCCUGAUGCAGCGACGCCGCGUGAGCGAAGAAGUAUUUCGGUAUGUAAAGCUCUAUCAGCAGGGAAGAUAAUGACGGUACCUGACUAAGAAGCCCCGGCUAACUACGUGCCAGCAGCCGCGGUAAUACGUAGGGGGCAAGCGUUACCCGGAUUUACUGGGUGUAAAGGGAGCGUAGACGGCAAGGCAAGUCUGAUGUGAAAACCCAGGGCUUAACCCUGGGACUGCAUUGGAAACUGUCUGGCUCGAGUGCCGGAGAGGUAAGCGGAAUUCCUAGUGUAGCGGUGAAAUGCGUAGAUAUUAGGAAGAACACCAGUGGCGAAGGCGGCUUACUGGACGGUAACUGACGUUGAGGCUCGAAAGCGUGGGGAGCAAACAGGAUUAGAUACCCUGGUAGUCCACGCCGUAAACGAUG